Molecule: ribosomal RNA, 844 nt
Filed under: uncultured bacterium
Lineage: Bacteria
Description: bacterial SSU rRNA
Rfam family: Bacterial small subunit ribosomal RNA
Source: RNAcentral
AGAGUUUGAUCCUGGCUCAGGAUGAACGCCGGCGGUGUGCCUAAUACAUGCAAGUCGUACGCACUGCCCCAACUGAUUGAUGGUGCUUGCACCUGAUUGACGUUGGAUCACCAGUGAGUGGCGGACGGGUGAGUAACACGUAGGUAACCUGCCCCGGAGCGGGGGAUAACAUUUGGAAACAGAUGCUAAUACCGCAUAACAACAAAAGCCGCAUGGCUUUUGUUUGAAAGAUGGCUUUGGCUAUCACUCUGGGAUGGACCUGCGGUGCAUUAGCUAGUUGGUAAGGUAACGGCUUACCAAGGCAAUGAUGCAUAACCGAGUUGAGAGACUGAUCGGCCACAAUGGAACUGAGACACGGUCCAUACUCCUACGGGAGGCAGCAGUAGGGAAUCUUCCACAAUGGGCGCAAGCCUGAUGGAGCAACACCGCGUGAGUGAAGAAGGGUUUCGGCUCGUAAAGCUCUGUUGUUGGAGAAGAACGUGCGUGAGAGUAACUGUUUACGCAGUGACGGUAUCCAACCAGAAAGUCACGGCUAACUACGUGCCAGCAGCCGCGGUAAUACGUAGGUGGCAAGCGUUAUCCGGAUUUAUUGGGCGUAAAGCGAGCGCAGGCGGUUGCUUAGGUCUGAUGUGAAAGCCUUCGGCUUAACCGAAGAAGUGCAUCGGAAACCGGGCGACUUGAGUGCAGAAGAGGACAGUGGAACUCCAUGUGUAGCGGUGGAAUGCGUAGAUAUAUGGAAGAACACCAGUGGCGAAGGCGGCUGUCUGGUCUGCAACUGACGCUGAGGCUCGAAAGCAUGGGUAGCGAACAAGAUUAGAUACCCUGGUAGUCCAUGCCGUAAACG